GGAGAAGGAGAAGAAGAAGAAGGAGACGGAGAACUGGAGAAGGUGAAGCAGAAAGAAAAAGCGAAAGCGAAAAGGAAAGGGAAGAAAGUCGAAGUUGUUAGUUGUGAUGUGAAGCGACAAUAUCCAUUUGAAGGUUUUAACAUUGACGACGAGGGUCCAAUUGAACUAAUGUUAUCCUUCUCGCAAUGGAUAAACGAGGGUCUUUACAAGCAUCAUGCAAAAAAAGGAAAUAAGGAGAAUCACUACUUAGUCAAUUGUUCAAAACUUGAAUUUGGCUAACUUGAUUUAGUAGUUGCAUUUCCAAUGAAUAAGGACCGGUUCUACGUAAUGUCUCAAUCCAAUAGGUGUUGGAAUGAUGAGUCGUUGCAUUGAAGGAACGGUGCAUAAAAAUGUAUGAUUCCAUGUCCUCAAAUAGGUCUAAUAGAAAACUAUCCUCCGAGAUUCAAAAGAUGGCUACAAUGUUGCCAAAGUACCUUGAGUUGAGUGGAACUUUUGAGCAAAACGAGCGAACCAACUAGUAGUUCUUAAAUGUUACCAAGAAAGGAACAAAUCUCACCCAUUCGAAGUCAGUCAUGUUACUGGUAUUGCCCAACAAGAAAGCAGUAGUCUAGAUUGUGAAAUUUUUGUUGCCGCAUACGCUGAGUAUUUGAGUGAUGGAUUACAAGUACCAUCAUGUGAAGUUAGUGCCG
Molecule: long non-coding RNA, 689 nt
Organism: Solanum pennellii
Lineage: Eukaryota; Viridiplantae; Streptophyta; Magnoliopsida; Solanales; Solanaceae
Exons: 4
Source: RefSeq, a predicted model, not a curated record